GGGGAUGAUCGGUUUCGACAUUGCCUGUGUGCCGACGGGAAGCGGGCCGAGGACCCACGGUCAUCUCGUGAACGAUCCGUGGAAAACAACAAGUGCCAAUUCCAAGCGCACUGACUUCGCUCUCGCUGCGUAAGCAGCCCAGCACAUGAAGUCCGUCGGCCAGGUGAUCGUCUUCUAACCUGAGUUCCGGCGUCAUCCAGAGGACUUGCUGCACGGUUGCGCCUCAGGGCCGUGCGGGACUUGCACUGAGACUGGGCCCGUCGUCCUAGAAGCCGGUAGCAAAGGACGGGGCCGAGCAGAACGAAUCAUCCGGAUACGCCCGUAGAAGACGUCGAAUUGCAGCGAUGGACGGGGGUUCGAUUCCCCCCAUCUCCACCA
This is a non-coding RNA of Curtobacterium sp. MCBA15_008, 378 nucleotides long. The record is from Rfam. NCBI's taxonomy places the organism in Bacteria, Bacillati, Actinomycetota, Actinomycetes, Micrococcales, Microbacteriaceae.